CAGCCGCCACGGUAAUACGUAGGUGGCAAGCGUUGUCCGGAAUUAUUGGGCGUAAAGGGCUCGCAGGCGGUUUCUUAAGUCUGAUGCGAAAGCCCCCGGCUCAACCGGGGAGGGUCAUUGGAAACUGGGAAACUUGAGUGCAGAAGAGGAGAGUGGAAUUCCGCGUGUAGCGGUGAAAUGCGUAGAGAUGUGGAGGAACACCAGUGGCGAAGGCGACUCUCUGGUCUGUAACUGACGCUGAGGAGCGAAAGCGUGGGGAGCGAACAGGAUUAGAUACCCCUGUAGUCCCUGUCUCUUAUAC
RNAcentral lists this ribosomal RNA (301 nucleotides) under uncultured bacterium. Its description in RNAcentral is "partial 16S ribosomal RNA". It matches the Rfam family "Bacterial small subunit ribosomal RNA", at positions 509 to 807 of the family's 1533-position model. The record is from RNAcentral.